AGCCCAACCGCCGUAUCUAAUACGAUGAGUGGUUCUAAAAACUAACGAAAGCAAACACCUCCUCGUGAGGGUGCUUUCGUUAGUCGUAUUUAGGAAUAGGUACGGGCUUCGGCUAAGGUCGGGUC
The submitters of this non-coding RNA (125 nucleotides) gave its source as unclassified sequences. The record is from Rfam.